AUCAGUCUGAAGAGUCCCAGAUAGGACGAAACGCGCGUCCUGGAU
RNAcentral lists this non-coding RNA (45 nucleotides) under Schistosoma mattheei. Lineage: Eukaryota; Metazoa; Platyhelminthes; Trematoda; Strigeidida; Schistosomatidae. The record is from RNAcentral.